UUCUGAUGCAGCAACAUCCA
This 20-nucleotide small nuclear RNA is filed under the name Arabidopsis thaliana (thale cress). Its description in RNAcentral is "snRNA_10256". The record is from RNAcentral. Lineage: Eukaryota; Viridiplantae; Streptophyta; Magnoliopsida; Brassicales; Brassicaceae.